Molecule: long non-coding RNA, 660 nt
Filed under: Triticum aestivum (bread wheat)
Lineage: Eukaryota; Viridiplantae; Streptophyta; Magnoliopsida; Poales; Poaceae
Description: long non-coding RNA (TAES_LNC006579)
Source: RNAcentral
UCAAAACCUGGUUACCUGAUAUUAAUAGUGUGUAUUUUAUGUCAGCAUAGACGACAUAUGUACCACUAACUUCGUACUCGUACAUAUCUGAUACACACAAACUCCGAUUAGAACAAUCAAUGAUCAUGAUUAAUCCGCCGAGACAAUGUAAUCUCACGACAAUAAAGACAUCAGAUCUUCUCGAAUAAUAAUCUGCUAAAAAGAGACAAAGAACAAUAUUGUCUCCGACAAAAAGAGAAAGAGAGGAUCGAUUAUUUGUUUAUUGAUCCACGCCUUAGAUAGAUUAGGACUGUAUGUUUUCAGCGACGGCGUCGAGUGAUCUGCAGAGGACGCACUUGCAGACAGAGUCGUCACAAAUCCCGCCACAAUAGCCAUUAUCGACGCACGUCUCGGCACAGGCUUGGGCGGCCCAGGCCGGAACUCUGGCUGGGGGGCCGUCCCAAUGCAAAUCCCUGCUUGCACCAACAUCUAUAUGCGUAGGAAGAAAAAAAAUGGAGGUUUUGUCAUAAGAUAAGAGGUACUAUACAUAGUACUUACAGAAACUACAAAUUACGAUCUUUUAGAAUCGUACGGGAAGACGCAAGGAGCAGCGCCGACACCAAUACCAGGACGAUGAUCUUGAAAGCCAUGAUCGGCCAAGGAGUGGAAGUACAGAACGAU